This 211-nucleotide ribosomal RNA is filed under the name uncultured bacterium. Its description in RNAcentral is "partial 16S ribosomal RNA". It matches the Rfam family "Bacterial small subunit ribosomal RNA", at positions 524 to 732 of the family's 1533-position model. The record is from RNAcentral.
UACGGGGGGGGCAAGCGUUGUUCGGAAUUACUGGGCGUAAAGGGCUCGUAGGCGGCCAACUAAGUCAGACGUGAAAUCCCUCGGCUUAACCGGGGAACUGCAUCUGAUACUGGAUGGCUUGAGUUCGGGAGAGGGAUGGCGGAAUUCCAGGUGUAGCGGUGAAAUGCGUAGAUAUCUGGAGGAACACCGGUGGCGAAGGCGGCGAUCCUGG